This is a long non-coding RNA of Lolium perenne, 2416 nucleotides long. RefSeq lists it as uncharacterized. The record is from RefSeq and is a predicted model, not a curated record. Lineage: Eukaryota; Viridiplantae; Streptophyta; Magnoliopsida; Poales; Poaceae.
UCCUUACAGCGAGGUCAAGCUUCCUGGCCGCGGGAUCGCGAUCCGACGACUAGCGGAGAGCGGUGCGUCUUGUUCGCUUGGCCCCAGCGCACAGGUUGUAACCAGGAGAGUACCCGUAGCACAUAUUGUCUCGUCCAUCUAAAAAUAGUGUCUCGUCGGAGGGAGACUUUUUCCCCAUUUCGCCUCCUCUUCCGAUUGCUUCGAUUUGCUCCGCCGAUUCGCAGACCCAGUGGAGAUUGAACGGUGCUGGUCGUCGGCGCCUGUUACAUCCUUGCCGCGCCGGCUGAAUCUUCGAGGUGGCGGCUUCCCCACGGUGGUUGCUGCUUCACAUCGGCGGCGGCUUCUUCUUCCAUGUGGCACCGGCUACAUCGUUGCGGCGUCGAUUACAUUACUGUGGUGGUGUCUUCUUCCACGUGGCACCGGCUGCUCCCUAGCGCCGACGGCUUCUUCCACGUGGCGCCGGCUACGUCCCCGCUGCGCCGGCUGCUUCCUCGCGGCGGCGACGGCUGCUCCCUAGCGGCGGCGCCGGCUGCAUCGUCGCGGCGCUGGCUACAUCCGCAUGGAGCCGGCUUCUUCCACGCGGCGUCAGCUACAUCCACGCGGGGCCGGCUUCAUCUCCCCGCCUCCGGCUACAUCCCCCGGUGACUACAUCCAAUGCAAUGUUUACUACAUUGACAAUCUGAAUUUCAGAGAGCACACCAACCCCACAGCGAGCUUCCAAAGAUUUUGGCCUAUGACAUAAAGACCUUGAAAAAACUAAUUGUUGUGGACAAGAUUACAUUCUGAGGGGCCAACAACGGAUAGAGAUCCAGGAACGGCGCGCCUUGCCCCGUAGUAUCCACCAUCUAUAGAAGAUGAACGGCCAACAGCAUCCAACAGCUGAAUGACUCGACACGUAUUCAGACUCCAGCAGGGGUCGGAAAGGGUUGUCGAAGGAAGCAGAAGCUGGCGUAUGAAGUUCCGCUGAAGGGAGUUGUUGUUGGGGUUGGAGCGACCCGUCGGAGGAGCAGUCGGUGUGGGCCGAAAGGGGCGUCAAGGCCGUUUUCCAGUGCACGCCGCUGGCGCGGCUCUCCUCCCUUUCCCGCGGCGGUGGGAGCGGCAGAGCUCUGCCGUAGUGGCCGUGCAAAAUUUUCCCAUGACUGAAGGCGUUUGGUGUCUGGCUGAAAACAUGAGCUUAUUUCCCUUUGAUUGAGUUGCUGGCGUCGGUUCUGGGAGGGACGGUGAAUGUUGGGGGUUGAGGCACAGCCGCACAGCGCUCUGGAAGUGUACGGAAAAUCACUGAUGAAAGGCACACUUCCAUCCAAGAAAAGUGAGUGCGACUAAAAGGUAGGAAGAAUCUUCGAAAGUCGAUCUCAUCAAAGGGAAUGAAGUAAGAUGAAGUAAAGUUAUACAAUAUACAUGCUUAUUUGUAGCGGAUGUGAUCGAGAGUACUUUCUUGUUCUAGAUGUCAUGCCUUUCGCAAACUUUCUGAACUAUGUUCGUCUCGAAAUCUGUUGCACUAUGUAAAAUGUUGUUCCUGGAUGUUAGUAAUAUGGAACUAUGGUCGAAGACAAAUGUUGCUUACUUUUGCAUGCAUGAGCAUAACUUCAAUGUUUCAGUCCGUUGCACAAGGAGCCUCAUAUGCUGUUAAUAGUUUUUCCAGCAUUGCCUCCGAUCAUGUUUUGUUUACAUCCUGUUGCAUAUAAUUCAAGAUGUCCUACAUAUGUUCCAUUGCUUCUGAAGAUAAUCUUAGGUUACACCUACUAAACUAGACAUGUUCCAUCGCUUGUAUAUAAUUCACUUUUACUCUACUGUAACUUUUUUUUGGCUCAUGUCGUAUUUACCAAUCAUGCAUGCCUCAUUUGUUUUACUACAUGUUACUCUUUCUUAGAUGUUACUAUUCAUCUAUUGUAACCUUGAUCUCAUACUACUAGAUGUUUUUCUUCAUGUACUCUUCAUAUACUGUAACCUAAAUCUACAACACCUUGUUACUUUAUAGUAAACGUUCCAUCUUAGAUAGGAUGUGACUUCAAAUUAGAUGUACAUGCAUGCUCAUGUUUGUAUGCAGUAAAAGUAGAUGUAGCACAGACAAGCACGAUUUAGUAUGUCAAGGUUUUACCAUGCAUGUAUCAUACACAAGAAAAGAAAGAUGAUAGUUACAGAAGAAGCUGCGUGGGGAAAAAGCUUACAGGCUCCGCUGGAGGAGGUAUAGUUUUUAGGAUUUUGAUGUAACAGCUCGAACUUAUCUCUUAUCUUUUUCGUUGUUCUUAUCCGUUUUUUGACCGGGUGAGAUGCAGAUGUAACAUCUCUGUGUUCUUUCUUCUGUUCUUCACCUCCUUCUCUCCGAUUGAGAUCCAGAUGUAACAGCUAUGUAUUCUCCCUGCUGUUCUUCUACUGCUAGCUCGAUUUGAGAUCUGGAUGUAACUGGAUCGGGAUC